Molecule: ribosomal RNA, 254 nt
Filed under: uncultured bacterium
Lineage: Bacteria
Description: partial 16S ribosomal RNA
Rfam family: Bacterial small subunit ribosomal RNA
Source: RNAcentral
CACGUAGGGGGCGAGCGUUGUCCGGAUUUAUUGGGCGUAAAGAGCUCGUAGGCGGUUCGGCAAGUCGGGUGUGAAAUUUCGAGGCUCAACCUCGAAACGCCACUCGAUACUGCUGUGACUGGAGUCCGGUAGAGGAGUGCGGAAUUCCUGGUGUAGCGGUGGAAUGCGCAGAUAUCAGGAGGAACACCGAUGGCGAAGGCAGUUCUCUGGGCCGUAACUGACGCUGAGGAGCGAAAGCGUGGGGAGCGAACAGG